CGCGGUGGCGGCGGGCGGUGGCAGGAGGGUUGUCGGUGCCGUCAGCGGUGGCGGUAUCGGCGGGUUCUGAGGAGUGGAAGUUGAUGGUGUCGCAGGCGGUGACGCAGCGGCGGAACCGCUCGGAGACGAUGUCCAUGUUAGGUAAGUGUCGAGCCUCAAUGAUUUUGAGGUCGAGGUCGCCGUGGAGGUACAUGAAGCCAUUGCCGUUACCGGUUUCCGCCAUGAAGGAGGCAGUGUUUUAGUGGAAGUUGAUGGUGUCGCAGGCGGUGACGCAGCGGCGGAACCGCUCGGAGACGAUGUCCAUGUUAGGUAAGUGUCGAGCCUCAAUGAUUUUGAGGUCGAGGUCGCCGUGGAGGUACAUGAAGCCAUUGCCGUUACCGGUUUCCGCCAUGAAGGAGGCAGUGUUCCCGUGCGGGCGAGUGUAGAAUAUGAAAGGGUGCACGGAAGAGAAGAGAGAAUAAAGAGAGGGUUCUUGAAGUUUGGAAUGGCUUUGGCUUGGGAGAG
This 504-nucleotide long non-coding RNA is filed under the name Arachis ipaensis. Its description in RNAcentral is "long non-coding RNA (AIPA_LNC001115)". The record is from RNAcentral. Lineage: Eukaryota; Viridiplantae; Streptophyta; Magnoliopsida; Fabales; Fabaceae.